RNAcentral lists this ribosomal RNA (702 nucleotides) under uncultured Lachnospiraceae bacterium. RNAcentral's name for it is "bacterial SSU rRNA". It matches the Rfam family "Bacterial small subunit ribosomal RNA", at positions 28 to 732 of the family's 1533-position model. Lineage: Bacteria; Bacillati; Bacillota; Clostridia; Lachnospirales; Lachnospiraceae. The record is from RNAcentral.
GAUGAACGCUGGCGGCGUGCUUAACACAUGCAAGUCGAGCGAAGCAGUUAAGAAGAUUCUUCGGAUGAAACUUGAUUGACUGAGCGGCGGACGGGUGAGUAACGCGUGGGUGACCUGCCCCAUACCGGGGGAUAACAGCUGGAAACGGCUGCUAAUACCGCAUAAGCGCACAGAGCUGCAUGGCUCAGUGUGAAAAACUCCGGUGGUAUGGGAUGGGCCCGCGUCUGAUUAGGCAGUUGGCGGGGUAACGGCCCACCAAACCGACGAUCAGUAGCCGGCCUGAGAGGGCGACCGGCCACAUUGGGACUGAGACACGGCCCAAACUCCUACGGGAGGCAGCAGUGGGGAAUAUUGCACAAUGGGGGAAACCCUGAUGCAGCGACGCCGCGUGAGCGAAGAAGUAUUUCGGUAUGUAAAGCUCUAUCAGCAGGGAAGAUAAUGACGGUACCUGACUAAGAAGCCCCGGCUAACUACGUGCCAGCAGCCGCGGUAAUACGUAGGGGGCAAGCGUUAUCCGGAUUUACUGGGUGUAAAGGGAGCGUAGACGGCAAGGCAAGUCUGAUGUGAAAACCCAGGGCUUAACCCUGGGACUGCAUUGGAAACUGUCUGGCUCGAGUGCCGGAGAGGUAAGCGGAAUUCCUAGUGUAGCGGUGAAAUGCGUAGAUAUUAGGAAGAACACCAGUGGCGAAGGCGGCUUACUGG